GACGAACGCUGGCGGCGUGCCUUGUACAUGCAAGUCGAACGCUGAAAGAGGAGCUUGCGCUUCUGGAUGAGUUGCGGACGGACGAGUGACGCGUAUGUCACCUGCCUGGUAGCGGGGGAUAACUAUUGGACACGAUAGCUAAUACCGCCUAAUAUUCUCUGAUGAAUGACGACUGUUUGAUAGGGGCCUUUGCAUCUCUACCAGAUGGACCUGCGAUGAAUUAGCUAGUGGGGGGGGGGACGGCUCACCAAAGCAACGAUACCUAGCCUAACUGAAAGGGCGAUCGGCCUGGCUGUGACUGACACACCGCACUCACUCCUACGGGAGGCAGGAGUAAGUAAUCUUCGGGAAUGGACGGAUGACUGACCCAUGACCGCCGCGUGAGUGAAGACUGCUUUCUGAUCAGGACUCUCUGCUGGAAAAAAAAAGCUAGUGCGAGAGUGGACAGCUCACGCUGUGACGGGAUCUUACCACAACGGGACGGUUCACUACGUGCCACCCGCCGCGACAAUACGUGCGACCCGAGCGCUGACCGGAUGUAUUGGGCGCAAAGCGAGAGCAUGCCGUUAGAUAAAUCUGAAGUCAACGGCUGUGGCUUGACCAUAGCACGCUUGUGAAACUGUUUGACUAGAGUGCAUCAGAGGAGAGUGGAAUUCCAUGUGUAGCGGUGAAAUGCGUAGAUAUAUGGAGGAACACCGAUGGCGAAAGCGGCUUUCUGGGAUGUCACUGACGCUGAGGCUCGAAAGCGUGGGGAGCAAACAGGAUUAGAUACCCUGGUAGUCCACGCCGUAAACGAUGACUGCUAGGUGUUAGGCCCUUUCCGGGGUUAAGAGCGGUAGCUAACGCAUUAAGCACUCCGCCUGGGGAGUACGACCGCAAGGUUGAAACUCAAAGGAAUUGACGGGGGCCCGCACAAGCGGUGGAUGAUGUGGAUUAAUUCGAAGCAACGCGAAGAACCUUACCAGGUCUUGACAUCCCUCUGACCGCUCUAAAAAUAAAGAUUUCCUUCGGGACAGAGGCGCCAGGUGGUGCAUGGUUGUCGUCAGCUCGUGUCGUGAGAUGUUGGGUUAAGUCCCGCAACGAGCGCAACCCCUAUUGUUAGUUGCCAUCAUUCAGUUGGGCACUCUAACGAGACUGCCGGUAAUAAACCGGAGGAAGGUGGGGAUGACGUCAAAUCAUCAUGCCCCUAUGACCUGGGCUACACACGUCAUACAAUGGUUGGUACAGAGAGUAGCCAACCGGCGACGGCAAGCCAAUCUCUCAAAGCCAGUCUCAGUUCGGAUUGCAGUCUGCAACUCGCGUACAUGAAGUCGGAAUCGCUAGUAAUCGCGGAUCAGCACGCCGCGGUGAAUACGUUCCCGGGCCU
This 1366-nucleotide ribosomal RNA is filed under the name uncultured bacterium. RNAcentral's name for it is "partial 16S ribosomal RNA". It matches the Rfam family "Bacterial small subunit ribosomal RNA", at positions 28 to 1381 of the family's 1533-position model. The record is from RNAcentral.